Molecule: ribosomal RNA, 459 nt
Filed under: Nosema mylitta
Lineage: Eukaryota; Fungi; Microsporidia; Nosematidae
Also listed under: 2 other names
Description: SSU rRNA
Rfam family: Microsporidia small subunit ribosomal RNA
Source: RNAcentral
GCGGCUUAAUUUGACUCAACGCGGGGUAAUUUACCAGGUAUAACAUGAUAUAAUAUUUUAUCAUGAUAGUGGUGCAUGGCCGUUUCCAAUGGAUGCUGUGAAGUAAUGAUUAAUUUCAACAAGAUGUGAGACCCUCAUAUAGACAGAUGUAGUGAUACAUAUGAAGGAGAGGAUUAAAACAGGUCCGUUAUGCCCUAAGAUAAUCUGGGUUGCACGCGCAAUACAAUAAUAUUUGAUAUUAUAAGGGAUAAUAUAAUGUAAGAUAUAUUUGAACAUGGAAUUGCUAGUAAAUUUUAUUUAAUAAGUAGAAUUGAAUGAGUCCCUGUUCUUUGUACACACCGCCCGUCGCUAUCUAAGAUGGUAUUAUCUAUGAACAAAUUUAUAAAGUGAAUAGAUAGUACUAGAUCUGAUAUAAGUCGUAACAUGGUUGCUGUUGGAGAACCAUUAGCAGGAUCAUAA